Molecule: long non-coding RNA, 253 nt
Filed under: Mytilus galloprovincialis (Mediterranean mussel)
Lineage: Eukaryota; Metazoa; Mollusca; Bivalvia; Mytilida; Mytilidae
Source: RNAcentral
GCGUCUGAGGAUAAUCAAUACAAGAGAAAUGAGAUGUGUGGAGGAUUGCAAACGAAACAACUAUCUACUAAAGAUCAAGCUGAUUUUUUUUAGGGGGAUUGGGUAAGCAAACACAAUUAAAAAGAGAAAGGGGCAUAAUGAUUUAUGUAGUGAAAGUAUUAUGAUAUGCAUGUCCAAUGAGUAUAAUGAUUGAUAUAGGAGGAGUACCAGGUUAUUUAGAUAACAUUUAUCAAGUAUUAAACUUCAAUUUUAA